UACGAAGGGGGGCUAGCGUUGUUCGGAUUUACUGGGCGUAAAGCGCACGUAGGCGGACUUUUUAAGUCAGGGGUGAAAUCCCAGAGCUCAACUCUGGAACUGCCUUUGAUACUGGAAGUCUUGAGUAUGGUAGAGGUGAGUGGAAUUCCGAGUGUAGAGGUGAAAUUCGUAGAUAUUCGGAGGAACACCAGUGGCGAAGGCGGCUCACUGGACCAUUACUGACGCUGAGGCGCGAAAGCGUGGGGAGCAAACAGG
Molecule: ribosomal RNA, 255 nt
Filed under: uncultured bacterium
Lineage: Bacteria
Description: partial 16S ribosomal RNA
Rfam family: Bacterial small subunit ribosomal RNA
Source: RNAcentral